GUGACCUCAAAUCAGGUAGGACUACCCGCUGAACUUAAGCAUAUCAAUAAGCGGAGGAAAAGAAACUAACAAGGAUUCCCCUAGUAACUGCGAGUGAAGCGGGAAAAGCUCAAAUUUAAAAUCUGGCGGUCUUUUGGCUGUCCGAGUUGUAAUCUAGAGAAGUGUUAUCCGCGCUGGACCGUGUACAAGUCUCCUGGAAUGGAGCAUCAUAGAGGGUGAGAAUCCCG
RNAcentral lists this ribosomal RNA (227 nucleotides) under uncultured Cortinarius. Its description in RNAcentral is "partial 28S ribosomal RNA". It matches the Rfam family "Eukaryotic large subunit ribosomal RNA", at positions 1 to 223 of the family's 3401-position model. The record is from RNAcentral. Lineage: Eukaryota; Fungi; Basidiomycota; Agaricomycetes; Agaricales; Cortinariaceae.